CAGCAGCCGCGGUAAUACGUAGGGUGCAAGCGUUAAUCGGAAUUACUGGGCGUAAAGCGUGCGCAGGCGGUUAUAUAAGACAGAUGUGAAAUCCCCGGGCUCAACCUGGGAACUGCAUUUGUGACUGUAUAGCUAGAGUACGGCAGAGGGGGAUGGAAUUCCGCGUGUAGCAGUGAAAUGCGUAGAUAUGCGGAGGAACACCGAUGGCGAAGGCAAUCCCCUGGGCCUGUACUGACGCUCAUGCACGAAAGCGUGGGGAGCAAACAGGAUUAGAGACCCGCGUAGUCCCUGUCUCUUAUAC
This 301-nucleotide ribosomal RNA is filed under the name uncultured bacterium. Its description in RNAcentral is "partial 16S ribosomal RNA". It matches the Rfam family "Bacterial small subunit ribosomal RNA", at positions 509 to 807 of the family's 1533-position model. The record is from RNAcentral.